AGACCAGUCUGGUACGUUUGGCCUCCGGAGCCAAAGGCCGCAGGUUCGAAUCCUGCAUCGC
This 61-nucleotide transfer RNA is filed under the name Myxococcus sp. NMCA1. RNAcentral's name for it is "tRNA-Arg". The record is from RNAcentral. Lineage: Bacteria; Pseudomonadati; Myxococcota; Myxococcia; Myxococcales; Myxococcaceae.